Molecule: long non-coding RNA, 1386 nt
Filed under: Neodiprion pinetum (white pine sawfly)
Lineage: Eukaryota; Metazoa; Arthropoda; Insecta; Hymenoptera; Diprionidae
Description: uncharacterized LOC124220044, transcript variant X1
Source: RNAcentral
UAUCAAGUCUCUCUGGACAGCCCAUCCAGUAUUGGGGAGCCGGAAGAGGGUAGCGAUUGUCAGUCUUGAUUAGAAGGUUAUCGAAUUUCCAAAACAAUUUGUCCUUGAAGAAUCCUUACCGUCGAUCCAUGUCAUUGCAGCAUCGAUGUGAGAUGGAAUUCCACGCCACCUUCUUAUGUUGUGAGGAUAUCCAGGAUCCAACAUGCGGGAUGUUGCAUUAAAUCUCCAGAAUUUCUCACCCCUGAUCGUGAAACAUGGUUCUCAAACGGUUCGGAGGAGUGAAAUGCUAUUUAUUGACUUACCACUGAAAAGAAUAAUGUUAGCAUCGUCUUCUCUUUGUUUCCCGAGAGGGUACUUCUGUGACUAUGUUUACCUCGGCAUCUUUCUCUGUCGUGACGCGCUCCGUGGUAGUGGUAAUUGGCUCAUUUGCUGCAAAAUCAUCAUCUUCCACAUGUUGAGAAACUAAAAUUGAUACAUACAGUUAAUUUCUAAAUGUACGACAACUGUAUCUGGUGGUAUGGCGAAGUAUGUACGCGCAACAUCUGAUCGUAAGACUGUCUUUGAAAGAGUGGAUUUGCCAACACAACAUGCCGAUGUAUUAGAGAUGCAUUGCAAAAGUGGCCUUAUUCUCCACUGUUCGUCGUCAUCAAAAUGAAGAUCUCCCGCGUAAGACCCCAUCUCGUUGGGGAAGAAGGCAUGGGCCAGGACAUUUCCAGGACCGUCGAAGGCAUACCUUGAUCAUUCGAACAAUAAACAUGACGGAUUUUCGUUACAAGAUCCAAGAUCCGACGACGUAUCGCUUCCUUCGAGUGUUCACUUUUCUAUCAACAUCAGGAAUACCGCAUCGUGGUGAUUUCAUCAACUUGAAAUGAAAAGCAAUAAUUAUGUGGCGCAGAUAUCAAGAAUUGACGACAAAAAGUGAUAUCGCCGCAAUAAAUGGAAUAAAGUGAAACUGAUAAAUUCAGGCUGUAUUGAUAUAUUAUAGUAUCUCUCUAAAAUUUUUAUUCAUUCGUCUGCAAUCAAUAAAAUUAAAGGGUUUACCAAAGAAUGAAACAAUUAUUCUACACAUUGCGUUUUCUAUAGGACCAGAGUGAACGGUAUAAUUCCGACUUAUACGAAUGUAUUAUUUUUUCCAUGAAACGUACUCAUAGUUUUCUGUAAUUAACAACGCUUAUCGGCAAGAGCGGGCUGAUAUACCGACGUAAGGCGAGAGUGCAAGCGUUUCAAGUAUGUCGUGUAUGCAUACAUACAUUUACUGUCUAUGUACAGAGAAUGUCAAAGAACUCUUAACUCGGAGGCGGAUAAAACAGUGAGUAAAUUUAAGUCAAUUUAAAAAAUCUUUGAGCUAGACCGCUUGGCAAAUACUGAUAUUUGCUCCAUGCAGUC